AACGAACGCUGGCGGCAUGCCUAACACAUGCAAGUCGAACGAGACCUUCGGGUCUAGUGGCGCACGGGUGCGUAACGCGUGGGAACCUGCCCUUAGGUUCGGAAUAACUCCCCGACAGGGGUGCUAAUACCGGAUAAUGUCUUCGGACCAAAGAUUUAUCGCCUUUGGAUGGGCCCGCGUUGGAUUAGCUAGUUGGUAGGGUAAAAGCCUACCAAGGCGACGAUCCAUAGCUGGUCUGAGAGGAUGAUCAGCCACACUGGGACUGAGACGCGGCCCAGACUCCUACGGGAGGCAGGAGUGGGGAAUAUUGGACAAUGGGCGAAAGCCUGAUCCAGCAAUGCCGCGUGAGUGAUGAAGGCCUUAGGGUUGUAAAGCUCUUUUACCCGGGAUGAUAAUGACAGUACCGGGAGAAUAAGCACCGGCUAACUCCGUG
RNAcentral lists this ribosomal RNA (433 nucleotides) under uncultured bacterium. RNAcentral's name for it is "partial 16S ribosomal RNA". It matches the Rfam family "Bacterial small subunit ribosomal RNA", at positions 29 to 507 of the family's 1533-position model. The record is from RNAcentral.